UGUCGUUCUAGAGAGACGCCACUGGAGGGCGCGAGAGUCCGCAAGCGAAAGACAGCGCGCCAAGCCUGUGUGGACGUGGUCCUCCUGUGGAGGCGCAGGAGGGCCGGACGCUCACGGUUUCGACGGCAACCCCUGCGUCCCGAGCUUCUCUGGGUCCUCCUGAGAUUCUUUCAUUGAUUCACAAGAGGGAGAUUAGAAGACCUGCUUUCUCAAUCUCCCACAUCUAAAGAUGCUGAAAAAUAUGAUAUUGACAUCAAUAUCAGAGGAUUCUGAGUCAGGCCUAACAUGCUUAUCAUCUGGCACAAAGAGGUCACUUAGAUUGAUGGAAUCAAUGCAUGCAUGGGCUUGAUGUGACCUUAUUC
This is a long non-coding RNA of Lagenorhynchus albirostris (white-beaked dolphin), 362 nucleotides long. RefSeq lists it as uncharacterized. Lineage: Eukaryota; Metazoa; Chordata; Mammalia; Artiodactyla; Delphinidae. The record is from RefSeq and is a predicted model, not a curated record. The transcript is spliced from 3 exons.